UCAUAUAUUUAUUAGAUACAGGUAAUACACUAUCAAAAAGUUUGAUUCGUCAAGCUCAGGUAUCAAAGCAGUUUUUUAAAUUAGAUUAUGCAAUAUAUUUGGUAACUUACAGUAACAGGGUUGUGAGUAACAGGGUUGUAAAUCUAUGCUAAGUUGUGGUUUACCCCAGGAACAGAUGCUAACUGUAAAAUUUAGCUAUGUAUACAAGAUCAAGGACAAACAUGGUUAUAUAAGUAUAUAAAGUAAAUUUGACUCUACUCAUUAUUAGUCUUACAGUAUGAGUAACAGGGUUGAGUUCACUGAGUGACACAAACAACUUGGACAAACAUAUUUAGAAAAAAAUCAUGAAAAUUGUUAGAGCACUUACUCUUGGUCUUGCCAUGUGGGCAGAAAAUGUCCUUGUGAUGUCACUUCCUUUGUGCCAGUAGACAAAUAUUUUUAACUCUUUCUCUGCAGGUAAAACUCCUUAUGGUAACAGGGUUGAGCGCAUGUUGUGGGACACAACUUAAUAUCAUAAAAACUGUAACAUGCAAAACAAUGUAGACCAAAGAAGUUGUUUUCAUGAGUAAAGGAGAUGCAGAUCAACAAUAUACAAGAGGAAGUCAUUUAUUUAGAGCUUAUUUUAAUUGUUUAAUUUGCCAAAGGAGUUGGUCACCCAAUGAGUGGGACAAGAGAAAACAGCCAUUUUUUGAGGUGCUCCAAAGGUAUUCGGUCUUUUGAAUAAUAUCUAAGGAGCUUAUUUUUCCACCAUAUUUUACAGUUUGUUUUAUAACAAGUACAUUUUUCACAAAAAAUAGUCAUUUAGAUAUUUUGGAUAUGUACAUUUGAAAUUUAAGAGGUGGGACAGGAAAAUCCUGGAAUGUCCCUGAACAGUAUUUAAACUGUAAUCAGACAGGUAGGAAGGUGGUACAGACUGUAGUUAAUAUACUAUAUUAUAUUACCCGUCAGUGGUGCUAGGAUUAAAGUGAGUAAACGUGUAUUAAACAGUGUUAUGGAGCGUAUAGACUGGAGCAGGAUUAAAUGGUACAGGCUGUUAAUGGCUGACUCUACUCUGACUCUAAAGGUUUUAUUACUCAGACAACAGCACACAUGCCUUUAAUUAUUUAAUAUGUAUUGCAAUGUUUUUGUAAUCAGAUUUGUUUGUAGUUUUAAUCAGUUGUAUUAAAUGCAUCAUCAUCAUUUUUGUAAUGAUGUUAAAGUAUGUUUUAUUCCUGGGCAGAUUCUGCUCUGUUGAAAUAUAAUCCUAUAAUAAAGUCCUAUUCAACAUCAUGUUACAAA
Molecule: long non-coding RNA, 1278 nt
Organism: Astyanax mexicanus (Mexican tetra)
Lineage: Eukaryota; Metazoa; Chordata; Actinopteri; Characiformes; Acestrorhamphidae
Exons: 2
Source: RefSeq, a predicted model, not a curated record